AUUUCUUUCCUUUUCUUUCUUUCUUUCUCUCUCUCUCUCUCUCUCUCUUUCUCUCGCGAUUGAGAGAAAACAAAUAUUUUUUUGUGGAAUCGUCUGGGUGAGGAGGAAGAGGAGAUUGCUGUCAGAGAAGAAGAGAUUGCUGCCGGACGAAGAGGACAUUGCCGUUUCCCAUGCCAGUAUUUUGAUUGAAUGGUGAAUCGGCUGUGAUUGCAUGUAGGAGAGGCGAUUUGGGAAUUAGGGUUUCGUGAAUUGGGAGUCCACUCGCCUGGAAGAGAUUCAAUCAAUUGAAAGCAGAGGGAUAUGUGGUUUUAUAUGUCAGAGCAUGAGAAGUUCAAUGACUUUGGGAAUGAUAAAGCUCUGUAUUGGCAUGAGACGAAUAUACCUUAUGCUGUGUGGACACCAGAGAGUAUUAGGACCAAGUCACUAACGUAUUAUCCAUCUGAGGAGGAUUGCAGAGUUGAAGGAAAAUGAGAGAAGAAGGACAUUGGAAGAGAUUUUGUACGCAUUGGUGGUUCAAAAGUUCAUGGAAGCUAACGUAACACUUGUACCAUCAUUGACCCCAUCUUCUGAUCCAUCUGGUCGGGUUGAUACUUGGCCGACCAAAGUAGAGAAACUUGAGCAGCUUCACUCCCCCAAGAUGUACGAGAUGAUUCACAACCAUCCUAUUCCUCAUUAAGCUCUCUUUUAGGGGUUUAAUCUGAAUUGUGUCUGUGGUUUGCAGAAAGUUUUGCAGAAAGUCUCUUUGUUGUGAUUGUGAAUGCUAGUUGUUCCUUGUAUAAGCUUCAACAUAUGACAAUAUAUGGAAAUUGAAUAAGUUAUACACAUAAAUUUUGGCACAA
Camelina sativa (false flax) is the source of this 839-nucleotide long non-coding RNA. RefSeq lists it as uncharacterized. The record is from RefSeq and is a predicted model, not a curated record. Lineage: Eukaryota; Viridiplantae; Streptophyta; Magnoliopsida; Brassicales; Brassicaceae.